GACGAACGCUGGCGGCGUGCUUAACACAUGCAAGUCGAACGAUGAAGCUGGAGCUUGCUCCGGUGGAUUAGUGGCGAACGGGUGAGUAACACGUGAGCAAUCUGCCCUUCACUCUGGGAUAACUGCGGGACACUGUAGCUAAUACCGGAUACGAGGCUUGGAGGCCUCUCCAGGUCUGGAAAGAAUUUCGGUGAAGGAUGAGCUCGCGGCCUAUCAGCUUGUUGGUGAGGGAAUGGCCCACCAAGGCGACGACGGGUAGCCGGCCUGAGAGGGUGACCGGCCACACUGGGACUGAGACACGGCCCAGACUCCUACGGGAGGCAGCAGUGGGGAAUAUUGCACAAUGGGCGAAAGCCUGAUGCAGCAACGCCGCGUGAGGGAUGAAGGCCUUCGGGUUGUAAACCUCUUUUAGCAGGGAAGAAGCGAAAGUGACGGUACCUGCAGAAAAAGCACCGGCUAACUACGUGCCAGCCGCCGCGGUAA
This 483-nucleotide ribosomal RNA is filed under the name uncultured bacterium. RNAcentral describes it as "partial 16S ribosomal RNA". It matches the Rfam family "Bacterial small subunit ribosomal RNA", at positions 28 to 523 of the family's 1533-position model. The record is from RNAcentral.